UAGUGAUUAUAGCUCCUUUAGAAUUUUGUCUAAUAGGUUUUCUGACUUUGGUAGGAAAACAAAA
This is a small nuclear RNA of Apodemus sylvaticus (European woodmouse), 64 nucleotides long. RefSeq annotates it as U7 small nuclear RNA. The transcript has a single exon. Lineage: Eukaryota; Metazoa; Chordata; Mammalia; Rodentia; Muridae. The record is from RefSeq and is a predicted model, not a curated record.